RNAcentral lists this ribosomal RNA (5076 nucleotides) under Triticum aestivum (bread wheat). RNAcentral describes it as "partial small subunit ribosomal RNA". Lineage: Eukaryota; Viridiplantae; Streptophyta; Magnoliopsida; Poales; Poaceae. The record is from RNAcentral.
CUUACCCCAACCGAGCAGAACAAAACAGAGAGCCUCCAUUGGAAGCAGCCCCGCGCUCUACUGUUCCUGUUAGAACCCUAGAUCUCCUCACCCGAGCUACCCCUCUUCCCGCCGCCCCAUAGUGUGUCCAUCUGACGCGUUCUCUACCUGCUCGCCCUCUCCUACUACGGGCGGACCGCACAUCACCAGCCUUCAUGGAACCGGAUGAAGAAGGGGGUCACCCCGGCCUCGACCUUUCGUCCUUUGACCCCGCUUGCCCGACCCCAAGUUCCAGGACUUCACUUCAAAAAGUUUGUUCAAUUAUAUCUACAUUUAACGAUAUUAAAUGCAGACUUGUAGUAGAAAUUGGUUUUGGUGGCAUGUUGCGUCUGCCCGCUAUUUCUAAGCUCAAUUUGAAAUUCAGCACAUGGCUCAUGAGCAUGGUAGAUGGGCCCAACAGAUGCAUCAAACUAUCUCAUGAUAGAUCCAUUAGUUUCUGGCCAGGGGAUAUCCACAAAGUUUUCGGUAUCCCAUGUGACAACCUAGACAUACAAAUCAUUGAAUAUCAACAAGCAGAAAGUUCAGUUCAGUUUUUUAGAUCUGUCUUGGGUAUGCCUGAGAAGGGGAAUCAAGUGCUCAAAUGUGUUGAAUUAGUUAUAAUGAAAGAUCUAAAUGAAUCAACUGCCAUCAAUUUAGAGAUUGACUGUUUCAAUAUGGCUUUCGUGAUCUUUUGCAUGGGCCACAUCCUGACCCCGUCCAGUAAGCACGACCAUGCCAUCAUAGAUUACUGGUCAGCUAUCGCAAACACAGAUAAAAUUACAGAUUUCAACUUCUAUGAUUAUGUGUUUGCUGAUUUACUGGCGGCUUGCUGGAAAGUAAAGCAAGACAUUCAAAACAAUAGACCAGUUACUCACUUGAUGGGAUGCCACCUUUUUUUCCAGCUUCGAUGAAUCGAGGAUCAGGAAGAUGAUAAUCCAGUGCUCUAAAAUUGGCCCCGGGCCCCCAGAUUUCUCCGUAGGCCAGAUACGUCACCAUUCUCAGAUAUGCUACAUGCGCUCUGUUUGGGAUUCAAAAACUGAUGCAAAAUAUGAUGGCAUCAAAGAAACCACUUAUUCCUUCAAAAAAACUAUCGUUACAGAUAGUCCUCAACCCGUUUCUGCUGGAACUUCUUCAUUCUUGACUAACAUUCCUACCCCAUCGGAAUUCUGCAGCAUCCUCAAGUCUAACUACCCACAAUUGGCACAUUCCAAGCUCGGCAUACUCCUCAAUCAGCACAACGCUAUUUCAUUUAAAUCCUGCAAUGAAUUGAAGCGAUCCUUUCAUGAAGAGAACACUAGAUUUCUUCGCAGCCUUCUGUCCACCUUAUCUAAAAGUUGCAUCUGUUGCACGCUCCGUGGGACAACAUGCAUUGCACAAGAACUGCAGCCACCUGAAAGCCCUCUUUUAUCUAAUUUGUACCGGCAUUCGAAGCAGCAGUCUAAGUCUGAAGGCGCCACAUCUGCAGCACCAAAGGAUAAACAUAAGGCUGCCAAUUCGUCUUACACUAUUAAUGAGGUCACACCAUCACACAAGAAAAGCAGGAUAAACUCAUAUGACGCUGAUGACGAUGUUACUCCAAAAAUCACGAAAUUGCAUCAACCAACUGAAGAGUCCAAAUGUUGGGCUGACAGCCUAAUAGGCGGCAUCCUCAUGUUCACCGAUGAGACUGACCCGCCUGAAGAUGCUGUCGUAUUUACUCAGAUCUCACCAUUCAAACCAACCCCCGUAUCUACCUUGCACACAUCUUACGCUGAUUCUCAUUGGACUGAUGGUAGAUUACACAUUCAUCCACCACCAGACGUUCUAAUCGCGAUUCACUCAUAUUUUCGGAACCACCCUCCAAGUGAACUUAGCUGCCCGUGGAUUACACAUGCCAGUCCCCGAUAUUGCUCUCUGGCUGGUAAAACUAUUGUCGACCAGUUGUAUGGAUCCAAGCUUCUUGACCACGAAGCUUGUUGUCUCAUAUUCCUCCGUUUGAAUCAGAUUGAUAACAAAUUGCUAUACCCUGGAUCCACCCCGAAAUGGCGCCGUUACAUCGAAGCUGAUUUCUCUACUGAUGUACUCGCUGACGAAAAUGUAUGGGACAUGGUAUCUGUCCAGAAACAAUUCAUCCCAGAAUAUAUAAGCCAACAACUGCCGAACACGCGCCUAUUCAUUAUCCCAGCUUACCUUCAGUCUGGAUGGAGUGUGUAUUGUUGGGACAUGAAGAGGAAGAUCAUCCACAUGUGCGACCCACUGGCCGAUGCUUCUUCUUACACUGCACAAAAAUCCAGCCACCUAAUUAUUGCAGAAAAGCUUCAUGAUGCCCUCUUCACCUAUUUGAACAAGUUUUCCAGGUCAUGGCAUGUUGACGUAGCUAAUUGGAAGAAAAACUUCCAGUUCCUUUCGGCCACAUUGUUUGACCGCAACGAGAGUGGCGUCUGUAUGAUUCACAUGGCUCGUUACUUCAACGGCAUCGGUCUUGCUACAAAGCUUGACAAUGUAUCCCUCUACUAUAUUCUAUAAACUUAUAUCUUCAUCAUCAUGCUCACAUCCCACCUGUAGUAGAAAUUGGUUUUGGUGGCAUGUUGGGUCUGCCCGCUAUUUCUAAGCUCAAUUUGAAAUUCAGCACAUGGCUCAUGAGCAUGGUAGAUGGGCCCAACAGAUGCAUCAGACUAUCUCAUGAUAGAUCCAUUAGUUUCUGGCCAGGGGAUAUCCACAAAGUUUUCGGUAUCCCAUGUGGCAACCUAGACAUACACAUCAUUGAAUAUCAACAAGCAGAAAGUUCAGUUCAGUUUUUUAGAUCUGUCUUGGGUAUGCCUGAGAACGGGAAUCAAGUGCUCAAAUGUGUUGAAUUGGUUAUAAUGAAAGAUCUAAAUGAAUCAACUGCCAGCAAUUUAGAGAUUGACUGUUUCAAUAUGUAUUUCGUGAUCUUCUGCAUGGGCCACAUCCUGACCCCGUCCAGUAAGCACGACCAUGCCAUCAUAGAUUACUGGUCAGCUAUCGCAAACACAGAUAAAAUUACAGAUUUCAACUUUUGUGAUUAUGUGUUUGCUGAUUUACUGGCGGCUUGCUGGAAAGUAAAGCAAGACAUUCAAAACAAUAGACCAAUUACUCAUUUGAUGGAUGCCACCUUUUUUUCCAGAUCUUCUAUCUUGACAACCUAGACGUUGGCAUGCUAAACCUGCCUCACAAUUCGUACCCACGCAUAUCCAGCUUCGAUGAAUCGAGGAUCAGGAAGAUGAUAAUCCAGUGCUCUAAAAUUGGCCCCGGGCCCCCAGAUUUCUCCGUAGGCCAGAUACGUCACCAUUCUCAGAUAUGCUACAUGCGCUCUAUUUGGGAUUCAAAAACUGAUGCAAAAUAUGAUGGCAUCAAAGAAACCACUUAUUCCUUCAAAAAAAACUAUUGUUACAGACAAUCCUCAACCUGUUUCUGUUGGAACUUCUUCAUUCUUGACUAACAUUCCUACCCCAUCAGAAUUCUGCAGCAUCCUCAAGUCUAACUACCCACAAUUGGCACAUUCCAAGCUCGGCAUACUCCUCAAUCAGCACAACGCUGUUUCAUUUAAAUCCUGCAAUGAAUUGAAGCGAUCCGUUCAUGAAGAGAACACUAGAUUUCUUCACAGCCUUCUGUCCACCUUAUCUAAAAGUUGCAUCUGUUGCACGCUCCAUGGGACAACAUGCAUUGCACAAGAACUGCAGCCACCUGAAAGCCCUCUUUUAUCUAAUUUGUACCGGCAUUCGAAGCAGCAGUCUAAGUCUGAAGGCGCCACAUCUGCAGCACCAAAGGAUAAACAUAAGGCUGCCAAUUCGUCUUACACUAUUAAUGAGGUCACACCAUCACACAAGAAAAGCAGGAUAAACUCAUAUGACGCUGAUGACGAUGUUACUCCAAAAAUCACGAAAUUGCACCAACCAACUGAAGAGUCCAAAUGUUGGGCUGACAGCCUAAUAGGCGGCAUCCUCAUGUUCACCGAUGAGACUGACCCGCCUGAAGAUGUUGUCGUAUUUGCUCAGAUCUCACCAUUCAAACCAACCCCCGUAUCUACCUUGCACACAUCUUACGCUGAUUCUCAUUGGACUGAUGGUAGAUUACACAUUCAUCCACCACCAGACGUUCUAAUCGCGAUUCACUCAUAUUUUCGGAACCACCCUCCAAGUGAACUUAGCCGUCCCCGAUAUUGCUCUCUGGCUGGUAAAACUAUUGUCGACCAGUUGUAUGGAUCCAAGCUUCUUGACCACGAAGCUUGAUGUCUCAUAUUCCGCCGUUUGAAUCAGAUUGAUAACAAAUUGCUAUACCCUGGAUCCACCCCGAAAUGGCGCUGUUACAUCGAAGCUGAUUUCUCUACUGCUAUACUCGCUGGCGAAAAUGUAUGGGACAUGGUAUCUGUCUAGAAACAAUUCAUCCCAGAAUAUAUAAGCCAACAACUACCGAACACGCGCCUAUUUAUUAUCCCAGCUUACCUUCAGUCUGGAUGGAGUGUGUAUUGUUGGGACAUGAAGAGGAAGAUCAUCCACAUGUGCGACCCACUGGCCGAUGCUUCUUCUUACACUGCCCAAAAAGCCAGCCACCUAAUUAUUGCAGAAAAGCUUCAUGAUGCCCUCUUCACCUAUUUGAACAAGUUUUCCAAGUCAUGGCAUGUUGACGCAGCUAAUUGGAAGAAAAACUUCCAGUUCCUUUCGGCCACAUUGUUUGACCGCAACAAGAGUGGCGUCUGUAUGAUUCACAUGGCUCAUUACUUCAACGUCAUCGGUCUUGCUACAAAGCUUGACAAUGAAACACUUGGUCAUCAGAAGAAACUCAUGGCGGCCGAGUUACUCCAGUUAGAUGGCAACCUCGCCAUCCUCCCAGCAACGUUGACAAAAAUCUUACAUGGCUAGUAUAAGGAAGAAUAGUUCUUCGAAACCAGUACUCCGUGAUGUACGCACAUCAUCUAUAUCUGAACUCCAUACUAAGUUUCAUAUAUCAGCAAUUUUUUUAGCGAACAAUGUAACGGAUAUUCGAAUCUACCCCCUGUUUUAAAGAUUUACUAUUAUUAUUCAACUAUUUUAUUCCUAGCUUCAAAAUAUUCCUUUUUUU